Long non-coding RNA from Daphnia magna, 2480 nucleotides. RefSeq lists it as uncharacterized. NCBI's taxonomy places the organism in Eukaryota, Metazoa, Arthropoda, Branchiopoda, Diplostraca, Daphniidae. The transcript is spliced from 6 exons. The record is from RefSeq and is a predicted model, not a curated record.
AUCUGGGAUGGUUGAAAGGGGGAAAAAAAAAAGGAAUAAAUUUACCAUACGAAAAAGACAAGACAGACUUGGAAGGAGAAAAAAUAUGCUUGAUUCGUCGUGCACGAGAAAGUAACAGCUCUUUCAACAUAAAUUGCGGUGUUCGUCACCGCAGAGUCAGUGCCUCAUGGCGACUUUCCAUGUGGUUAAAAUUAUCCUCGUGACGUCGCGGGAGUACACCUACCCGUUGAACGUUUCCCAAGUCACGUGACAAGUCUUUUUCGUACAGACGUAGGGUAUUCACACACGCGCGCACAGCUAUUUUUGAAGGAAACGAAUUGAACGAAUCAUCGCCAGAGGGAUUGGCGGAUAUUAACUAUUUAAAUUACUGCACAAUGGGUGGGGCAGAGGGAACAUCGUUCAUGUGGUGGUUUCUGCUAGAACACGUUUUACGGGCCAAGGUCUAUGACUCGCGAAAGUUGCAUGAGUUUCCACUGUCUAAGCCCUCAAGCUCAUACAAAUGGAUCAAUAACUAGCAGUGUUGUGUACACCGGGGAAAACCAGCUAAAGCCUGAUUGCUCAUCCAGGUGUGCAGCACCUGCACACAGGAAUGUUUUCAAAGGCAAUAAGGAUAACAUCAAUAUGCUAGCUAUUCAAGUUUGCAAUAGCGAUCAGUGUAGACUUGAUAAUGUCCCCGAAGAGUUGAGGGCAAACCUAGAGUGAAUCGAGUCCCAGCUGCAAAUAGUUAUAUCACUGGCCCCAAGCACUUUAUGAUAAAAGGAAUGGCAAUCGCUAUUACACGGUCUCAUCCUCUACCGGAGCCUGAUAAACGUUGUGAGUAAACAAAGCACGAGGAAGGAUAAGUGAGUACACUAAACAAAUUUUUUGUCUUACCUAGUUAUACCAGAAUGAUAUGGGUGGCUUUUUUUACUUAAAUAUUUAAGAAUUCCUCGAUCUUCAAGGUAGUUAUUUUCCACCUUGCGAUCUGAACUAACAAGAAGCGUCUGCUUUUGCUUUUUGUUAGGUAACCGGGAACAGGGCCAAUCGCCAUCUACUGGAGUGUUAUAUCACCACAACGAAUGAAGUAACGAAAUUCUUAACAAAAGAAAAAUGUAACAAAAUUAUUAAAGAUCGAAGCAAAUACGCCAAGACUAAACAUUGCAAAACUUUACGGUAAUAACAAUACCAGUUAACACAUUGAUUAAUCGAAGCUAUUUCUAAUUAUACCAAGAUUGGUGAAUUGCCAAGACUUCGUCACGGAUAUAAAUGGGAACUUGUGAGCUGCAAUACUUGAAAUUUCGAUUGAUGAAACGCAUCAAAAUUAUGUUGAAGUCUUUGGUAAAGCUUUAUUAAGCCAACUUGUCAGAUAAUUUAUAAGGAAAAAUUUUUCAAUGCGUUCGGACUCGUCAACCUUAGGCAAUGUCAAGUUCUUUCGUCAAAUGUAGGUGUGAUUCUCAAAACUCUUGAACUAACCAAUUAUACGUUAAUUCGAUGCGAACUAUAGACAACGCCCUUCUUCAUCAAGACACAAUUUCAGGAUUUGCAUACACAUUUCAAAUAAGGUUAUCGAUUUGUACCUCUUACCGAAAAUGUAUCGACAAAUUUUCUGAAUGAAAUGUUUCGUGGUGACGUGGAAGCCCCAGUGGCCUUACUCGACGUAUGCGAGGCGGAAGACGGCCAUAAGAAGCCAAGCAUUCCAGCUCAAUAAUGAAAUCACGAGUGACCAGAAAUUUAAUCAAAUGUUUCUUUCUGAACGGCCAGUUCCCCUUUCAAUGCUCAUCGCACGUGCGGUCGAUUCUAUUGACAAGCCAGACACUACAAGUGUCACGCACAGCAUACUUCUGGAACUGAUCAAGCAGCGGGAGUGACAAACACAUCGUCUGUGGGCCACGGCCAAAAAAGAGGCAUUCUGGCGUCGAAUAUUUUUCAUUGUUUGUGUCGACAUGCCAUUGAAAUGCUGACACGAAGCCGUCGGAGAGAUCACCGAUUGCAUCUGUGGUAGCUCAUAUGAGCAGGCGAGUUGGCAUGUUCGUCAAUACUAACAAACGUGAAACUUUGGGAGCCUUAGAAAGAAACAUCAAAGAGACAAUAGCUUUAUAAGCGAUGAAUCACGGGAUUCGGAGACAAAAGCUAUUACAGAUACUAUAUGAAGCCCAAAGAAUGGAGAAGAGUCUAUGACCCGUUUUAGAUGGCCUACGCAAACUCGAAAAAGAAUAAAAGAAAAAACAAAACAAAAAACAGUUGGGAUAAAAUAAGGAAAUGACAAGUCUCGUCAUUGGAUUCCUUAUACUCUUUCGCUUGGCUGCACGCAAUUCCAAUAAAAGACGGUGACUUGCCCUGGGUCCCGAGUCAAACGCAUGUUGCAAAAGACCAAAGGAGUUCCUGGAAUGGGACGGUCGAUUAUUCUUCGACGACGCAAGUGUUACGCAUAUCCACGUGUUUGUCCAUUUGACGCAUUUGAAAAACAAACUUCUAAUGCGUACACGUCAGGUAAAAUUGUA